Oryzias latipes (Japanese medaka) is the source of this 4043-nucleotide non-coding RNA. The record is from RefSeq and is a predicted model, not a curated record. Lineage: Eukaryota; Metazoa; Chordata; Actinopteri; Beloniformes; Adrianichthyidae.
GGUUUACAUUACACCUGAGCCGGGGGUGUCCGUGUCCCUGGGGGGUGGGCAUCCACUUCUAUAUUUUCCGAUGAACCGCCGCAGUUUUCUUGAGUUCUUCAUCCUUGUUAGUUUAGGAUUAACCUUCUAGGCCGGUUGGAUCCGACUGCUGGUAAAACACACACUCUUCUGGUUCUACUCCCCGACGCGUCCUCGCGUCUCUCCCCUCAAGCUCCGCUAUCCUCAGUGGCCCACGCAGAACUCAUCACCUUCAACCUCCAAGACGAUAGUUACAUACUACGAAAGAUUUUCUUCCAAGCUCUUUGUAUUACUCUGUACCCCCCCGCCCCCCGGGUAAAAAUAAAUCUUUUCAAAGAACUAUGGGCUCUGAGUACUUCCGGGUUUCAGCAUCUGGGUCUGCCACGUCUUUGACGUCAUGACAGAACGAACUGGCCAACACCCAGACCCAGCUGACCCGGAAGGACUCUGUUUCGCCGUCACGCAGCAAGGAUUAGCGCUCGGUCAUCAAGCCGAAACCCUCAGCCAGAUGGCGUCAGCCCAGCAGGAUUUGUUCCGCCGUUUGGACGGCAUUUCUCAAGUCUUAGUUGAGCUAACAGGUCAGCAAUCGGCCACGACUACAUUUAGCUCAUCAUCUCCCCCUGCUGGGGGUUCUAAUCAAUCCACCGCCAACUGGACUCAAGAAAACUUCCGCCUACAACCCGAACCAUUUCAAGGUGACGUUGAAUAGUGCGGAUGUUUUCUUUUAGAAUGCCAAUUAAUCUUUCAGCAGGCCCUGUGGUAUUACCACGCUGACCACAGCAAGAUUACUCUUGUCGUUAACUCCCUCCGAGGUAAAGCUCUCCAAUGGGCCCAAGCUUACUUAUCUGCUAACCCUAUUUUCUAAGUGCCUUUUGAACGUUUCAUCGGGGAGUUUCGUCUGGUCUUCGACCUACCCCGCAAAGCUGAGGAGGCUACCUGUCGCCUUUGGGACUAAGACAACGCAGCUGUGCUCCCGAAGCUAAGACAUUCGAAGAGCUCGUCACCGCCGCCUUUUGGUCUGACAUACGGCUCCGGGAACGACAGAUGGAGCGCUCACGUCCUCAAAUCACCAGGUCAGGACCAUCUCCUCCUGGCUUCCGUUAAAACAUCAAUCGAACCUCUGAGGAACCGAUGCAGAUCGGCCACUCCAAGCUCACCCCGGAGGAAUGUCGUCGACGUAAGGAGGAAGGUACCUGCUUUUAUUGUGGUCAAUCUGGCCAUCACGUUCAUCAGUGUUCUUUGCGUUUAAACUCAAGAGCCCCCCGCUAGAAGACAGGCCGCGGGAGGGUCCUCCAUCUGUUACUCAGGAAAAUAAUUUCCUCUACGUUCCUGUCAAGCUAUGCCACCAGUCCCAGACUCAUGAAUGUCAGGCUCUCAUUGAUUCUGGAGCAGAACAAAGUUUUAUUGACUCUCAUUUGGUUUCCAAGCUCAGCCUCCCCGUCGAACCUCUGGACCAUCCGGUCAAAGCGGCUGGGUUAGGCAGACAACUGCUCACUCGCAUCACUCAUUGCACCAAGCCGGUCCAACUCAUCACCUCUGGUAACCAUCAUGAAUACUUGCAAUUUUACAUCACCCAAACUCUCCAGUCUCCUGUUAUCUUAGGGUUCCCCUGGUUACGUAAUCACAAUCCACAAUUCGACUGGGCUAACUAUCAGAUCACCAAUUGGAGCACCCACUGUAUGGUUAACUGUCUCCGCUCCGCCAUUCCCUCCGUGCCCCCCAGCCCUGAUCCGGUUUCGGAAGAGAUCGACCUCACCAAGGUACCCUCCUAUCAUCAUGACCUCAAGUCGGUGUUCAGUAAAAUAAAGGCGGGUGCUUUACCCCCUCACAGGCCCUAUGACUGCUCCAUCGAGCUAUUAAGCGGAGCCACGCUCCCUAAGGGCCGUCUUUUCAAUCUGUCCGGCCCUGAAAAACUCGCGAUGGAGAAAUAUAUUCACGAAUCCCUUUCUUCAGGUCACAUCCGCCCAUCCUCAUCUCCUGUCAGUGCUGGUUUUUUCUUCGUCCAGAAGAAAGAUAAAACCUUAUGACCCUGUAUUGACUACCGGGAUCUCAACCAGAUCACUGUUAAAAAUAAAUGUUCUCUGCCCCUUAUCAGUUCCGCCUUAGAUUCUGUUCAGGUAGCGCGUGUAUUUUCCAAGUUAGAUCUCCGGAUCGCGUACCAUCUUGUUCGCAUGCACGAGGGAGAUGAAUGAAAAACUGCCUUCAACACCCCUCUAGGGCACUCCGAAUACCCAGUGAUGCCUUUUGGGCUCACUAACGCCCCAGCAGUGUUUCAGCACCUCGUUAAUGAUGUUCUCCGGGAUUUUCUUAAUAGAUUCGUAUUUGUGACGACAUACUCGUCUAUUCUCCUAACUUAGAACAACACACCAACCAUGUACGCCGGUUUGCAUUCACCAUCACCUAUAGUCCUGGUAGUUGGAACGUUAAACCUGAUGCCCUUUCACGUGUCUUCCCCCAAGAGGCCGUCCAUCUACGUCAUAGGAAACAUUACUUGGGAUAUAGAGACGCGCGUCCUACAGGCCCAGCACGAAGAACCUGAUCAUCCUCUUCCCCCAGCUAAUCUAUUAUAUGUUCCUACUUCACUUCGUUCGGACGUUCUCACUUGGGGUCACUCCUCCCGUAUUGCCUGCCACGGAGGGACCCAAAGAACGCUCAAUCUAAUGGGUAAUAGCAUAGGUUUUUCUGGCCGACCAUGGAGCGGGAUGUUAGGGAGUUUGUUGCUGCAUGUACCAUCUGCGCCAGAUCUAAAUCUUCCAAUGCGCCCCCGGCCCUCUACCUAUCGCCAAACGCCCUUGGUCCCACCUGGCCAUAGACUUCUUUACUGGAUUACCCCCGUCUUUAGGUAAUACGGUUAUUCUUACCAUUAUCGAUCGCUUUUCAAGGACAUUGUAUCCGACCGGGGACCACAAUUCGUGUCCCAGGUCUGGAGGGCCUUCUGCUCUGCCCUGGGCACCACAGUCAUUCUUACCUCAGGUUAUCACCCACAAUCUAAUAGACAAGCAGAGCGCGCUAAUCAAGAGCUAGAAGCCGCUCACCGCUGUCUUGCCGCUCAAAAUCCGGCCAAUUGGUCUAAGUUUCUUGUAUAGACAGAGUACGCGCACAAUAAUCAUCCCUCCUCCGCCACAGGUAUGUCCCCAUUCGAAGCUUCACUCGGCUACUCACCUCCUCUGUUCCCCUCUCACGAGCUUGAUCUAGCGGUUCCCUCUGUCCAACACCAUCUGCAGUGCAACCAACGCUUCCGGCACCAAGCCAAGGCUGCUCUCUUACGCACCCGGGAGAAAAACUGCCGCUUGGCCAACUGUCGCAGAAGGGCUGGUCCUGAUAACCAAUCGGGUCAAAAAGUCUGGCUGUCGUCACGGAACAUUCCCCUUCAAGCUACCUCCCGCAAACUGGCUCCCAGUUAUAUUGGCCCUUACGUCAUCGAGAGGAUUAUCAACCCCUCCUGCGUCAGACUGCGGCACUCAAGGUACACCCCUCUUUCCAUAUUUCACAAAUUAAACCCUUCCAGGAGAGUCCCCUUUGCCCACCGUCCACUUCCCCACCACCCACCCGGCGCCCCUGCCUUCACAGUCAGUCGGACUUUGGACAUUCGCCGCCGGGGCCGCGGUUUUCAGUAUUUGGUGGACUGGGAGGGUUACGGUCCGGAGGAGCGCUCGUGGAUCUCCCGCUCUAUGAUUCUGGACCGUUCCCUCCUGGAUGACUUCUUCCGGGCCCACCCGGAUUGCCGUCCCGGACCGCCUGGAGGCGGUCGUUGAGGGGGGGUACAGUCACGGUGCCUCUGUCAGAUCACAUCCCCCCUCACAGCUCCUGCUCUGCUGAUUGGAACCAGCUGACCAUCAUCACCUCAUCAUCUGCCAGACCUUCAUAAGGGAGCGGCUCACCAGAAUCCAACGCCAGUUCGUUAAACUCACUCCGGUUCAUUUCCACGGGUCAAGCUGGUUCCCCCUCAUCCAGAGCUCCACUUCUCAUUCCAAGCUGGUUCCGCCGUCCUCGGCGUCCACACCUCGCCUCAAGUUGGUUACCCU